RNAcentral lists this ribosomal RNA (679 nucleotides) under Babakina anadoni. RNAcentral's name for it is "partial 16S ribosomal RNA". It matches the Rfam family "Bacterial large subunit ribosomal RNA", at positions 1796 to 2597 of the family's 2925-position model. Lineage: Eukaryota; Metazoa; Mollusca; Gastropoda; Nudibranchia; Babakinidae. The record is from RNAcentral.
CGCCUGUUUAUCAAAAACAUCACCUCUAGCAUCACCAGUAUUAGAGGCACCGCCUGCCCAGUGACACAUGUUUAACGGCCGCGGUACCCUAACCGUGCAAAGGUAGCAUAAUCUCGCCUGUUUAUCAAAAACAUAGCCAUUAGACGAUAUUUAUGGUUAAACCUGCCCAAUGUUUAAUAAUGAAUGGCCGCGGUACCCUGACCGUGCUAAGGUAGCGUAAUCAGUUGGCUUUUAAAUGGAGUCAGGAAUGAAUGGGAAAACCGGGUUUAGCUGUCUCUUAAUUAUUAUUUUGAAUUUACUAUUUAAGUGAGAAAGCUUAAUUUUGGAAAAGGGACGAGAAGACCCUUAGAAUUUUUUUUAAAUAGUUUUAAUUUAACUUUAUGAUUUUAUUGGGGCGAUAAAGAAAUAGUUAAAACUUUCUGUAAAUACAAGCCGAUUGUGUUAAGUAAGAAUAAAUUACCUGAGGGAUAACAGCAUAAUUCUAUAGUUGAGUUUGUGACCUCGAUGUUGGACUAGGAGACUAGCAGGCUAGCCGUUUGUUGAGUUGGUUCUGUUCGAACUUUAAUUCCUACGUGAUCUGAGUUCAGACCGGAUAGGGUUUACGACCUCGAUGUUGGAUCAGGACAUCCCGAUGGUGCAGCCGCUAUUAAAGGUUCGUUUGUUCAACGAUUAAAGUCCU